Molecule: non-coding RNA, 199 nt
Organism: Zea mays
Lineage: Eukaryota; Viridiplantae; Streptophyta; Magnoliopsida; Poales; Poaceae
Source: Rfam
UAGCUUUGUCUUAAGUCAAACUUCUUUAACUUUGACCAAGUUUUUAGAAAAAUAUAGUAGCAUCUACAAGUUCAAAUAAAUGCUCCAUCAAAACAGAUUUCAUAGAAAAAAUGACGGAACUAAUUUGAUGUUCUAAAUGCCGGUAUAUUUUCUAUAAAAUUGGUCAAAGAUGAAGAAGUUUGAAUUAGGAACAACAGAA